This is a non-coding RNA of Phascolarctos cinereus (koala), 737 nucleotides long. NCBI's taxonomy places the organism in Eukaryota, Metazoa, Chordata, Mammalia, Diprotodontia, Phascolarctidae. The record is from RefSeq and is a predicted model, not a curated record.
GGGAGAUGGAGCCUGGCAUCGAGGAUUCGAAGUGAGGAGCUAGGGGAAAAUUACGUAAUGGGAGGUUUGUGGGGAUAAUUCCAAGAGCUGGAGAUGUGAUCAGGCUCUUCGAGCCAUUCCUCAACAUAUACCAGCAAAUUUAUUCUAAAUGAAUAUUUAAGUGGUAUUUAAUAUUUAAUAUUUAAGCCAACAUAGCACUCAUAUAUGUUCAGGGGGUGUGCUGGCAAAUGCUAAAUAACUGGCUUUCAAAAAUGAGUGGAAGAUAUACUUUUGAAAUAAUCUACAUUAUUAAUGUUUUUUCUCCAUCAUUUUCUUAAGUUGUCAGUUAAGUCAACAAAACAAUAAAUCAAACAAAUCAACAAACUGAUGCACUGAUUUGUAGCACCUACAGAUUUCUAAGGUAUAAAUGCUCACACUGAAAAUUUAACAAUCAGUCCUUCCAGACUGGUACAAGCUGGUUCCAGCAUGCCCCUGCACAUGUUUCAAUAGAAUUUAUUGAAGGAUUUGAAUGACAGCUGAAUUGUGGAUGAAAAGCAAGUGAAGAGAAUUCAAAUGCUGCUAACCUCCCAUGGUGGGUGCUACCAGGCCAAAAUUAGCACAAACAGCAGAGAAUUGAUCCGUACUUUGUUGCAGCUCAGCUUCAGAGGUUGCACUGAAUGCAUAAUCAUCUGCAAACAGAAAAUCAUGUAGCAACACUCUCUUCACUUUGGUCUUGGCUUGUAGCCUUUUGAAGUUGA